GUUAAAGAGAGAAUUGAAACCUCAGGGCUAAAACAAAAUGACUCCAGGGCUGAGGAGGCCAGCUGGCCGAUUGGGGUGGUUGAUUUCAGAUGGGUUUCAGAGCGUUGCCUCUGUGGAUGAUCAGUUGCAUGCUUGCACCUGGGCAUCCCUGCCUUGGGGCUGAAGGAUGUGUGGGUCCUCAGGUCAGCCUGGCUGGAGGGUGACUUAGUUAUCCUUGCAGAAGUGCUCCCAGCAUCCCCACAGGUGCCACAGCUAAGCCUGCGUGCUUGCCCGGUCUCACUCAGAACUGGAAACGCCCUGUGGACUCCUGUUUCCUCACCUCCUGGCCUGCUCCUCUGACCGAAGGACACGGCUCUGGGACUCCUAGGUGACCUUUUUGGUCUUCCCUGGUGGCUCAGAUGGUAAAGAACCUGCCUGCAAUGCAGGAGACUGGAGUUCAAUCCCUGGAUUGGGAAGAUCCCUUGGAGAAAGGAACAACAAUCCACUCCACUAUUCUUGCCUGGAGAAUCCCGGGGGACAGAGGAGCCUGGAGGGCUACAGUCCAUGGGGUUUCGAAGAGUCAGACACGACUGAGCGACUAACACUGUCAGUUUUCAGAGGUGACCUUGUCUUGUCAAUAAUGCUUGUGGGAGAGAAGCAGCCAUGUAUCCUUGGCGUGGGACACUCAUCUUUCCCGUCGGUAACCAGUGGGACCCAGUCCUGCUUUGCUGGCCCAACUCCAAACCUGUGCUGUGGCUAGUACAGGCCACAAGUGCCUGCCAAUUGGCUCCAGCGGGGUGGGAGAAGGGCAGGGGGGCAAAGG
Long non-coding RNA from Bos taurus (domestic cattle), 802 nucleotides. Lineage: Eukaryota; Metazoa; Chordata; Mammalia; Artiodactyla; Bovidae. The record is from Ensembl.